Drosophila sechellia is the source of this 146-nucleotide long non-coding RNA. RefSeq lists it as uncharacterized. The record is from RefSeq and is a predicted model, not a curated record. The transcript has 2 exons. Lineage: Eukaryota; Metazoa; Arthropoda; Insecta; Diptera; Drosophilidae.
CUGCGGACGCACACGCGCUGCGGCAGCUGACAGUUUCAGUAAACCACGGAGACGAACGGAUUACGGCUCUGGGAACAAAACGCAACGUUUGAUGAAAAUUUCUGGCAACACGUCUUGGUUGUUGUUAACCACGCAAAAAAAUUAAA